This 429-nucleotide unclassified non-coding RNA is filed under the name soil metagenome. RNAcentral's name for it is "partial contains 5.8S ribosomal RNA, internal transcribed spacer 2, and large subunit ribosomal RNA". The stretch from base 1 to 120 matches the Rfam family "5.8S ribosomal RNA", at positions 35 to 154 of the family's 154-position model. The record is from RNAcentral.
GAUGAAGAACGCAGCGAAAUGCGAUACGUAAUGUGAAUUGCAGAAUUCAGUGAAUCAUCGAAUCUUUGAACGCAUAUUGCGCUCUUUGGUAUUCCGAAGAGCAUGCUUGUUUGAGUAUCAGUAAACACCUCAAAGACUUCAAUUUGUUUUGAAUGGCUUUGGACUUGAGCAAUCCCAACACCAGUCUUUACGAUCGGUGGAGGGUUGCUUGAAAUGCAGGUGCAGCUGGACAUUCUCCUGAGCUAAUAGCAUAUUUAUUUAGUCCCGUCAACCGGAUUAUUACUUUUGCUGCAGCUAACAUAAAGGGAGUUUGACCGUAUUGGCUGACUGAUGCAGGAUUUCACAAGGGUCGGCAACGAUUCUUGUAAAACUCGAUCUCAAAUCAAGUAAGACUACCCGCUGAACUUAAGCAUAUCAAUAAGCGGAGGA